GAAUCUAUAACCCAACUAGAAGUAGAAGAAAUCGUUAGAUUAGUUUCAAUUACGAGCAAGUCUAUACCUUCUGAAGGUGUGUCUCCCUUCUUGUUCUUCAAGCUCCCAAAAUAUGAAGGACAGUUUCUUUUCCAGUGGCCAUCGACAUUGCAGUGGAAACAUUUUCCUUUGUCAUUAGCCUUUUUCUUUUGAACUUCCUUCUUUGGCUUCUUGUCUUUCUUCUACUUCUUUGCAGGCUUCUUUUUCUUCCAAGUAGACUUUUUCUUGGAACCAGAA
RNAcentral lists this long non-coding RNA (276 nucleotides) under Phoenix dactylifera (date palm). RNAcentral describes it as "long non-coding RNA (PDAC_LNC010340)". Lineage: Eukaryota; Viridiplantae; Streptophyta; Magnoliopsida; Arecales; Arecaceae. The record is from RNAcentral.